AGUCACUGACAUUAGACUAACCCCCGUAGUCCCAGCCGUAAACUAUGCGCGUUAGGUGUACUGGUGACCACGAGUCGACCGGGGGUGCCGAAGGGAACCGUGAAACGUGCCGCCUGGGAAGUACGGUCGCAAGGCUAGAAACUUAAAGGAAUUGGCGGGGAGCACCACAACGGGUGGAGCCUGCGGUUUAAUUGGACUCAACGCCGGAAAUCUCACCGGAUAGGACAGACAUAUGAUAGUCGGGCUGAAGACUCUACUUGAUGAUCUG
This 268-nucleotide ribosomal RNA is filed under the name uncultured archaeon. RNAcentral describes it as "partial 16S ribosomal RNA". It matches the Rfam family "Archaeal small subunit ribosomal RNA", at positions 718 to 982 of the family's 1478-position model. The record is from RNAcentral.